GGGGGGACACGGGUGCUCGCUCGUCGAGCGUGCUCGACGGGAGGAAAGUCCGGACUCCAAGGGCAGGGACGCUGGAUAACGUCCAGGCGGAGCGAUCCGACACCAGCACCACAGAGAAUAAACCGCCGAUGGCCGGUGCAAGGAUUUCGAUCGCUUGCACGGGAUCAGGUAAGGGUGAAACGGUGGGGUAAGAGCCCACCGCGGUGAUGGCGACAUCAACGGCACGGUAAGCGUCGUCCGGAGCAAGACCAAAUAGGGGGACGCCUGUGGGCUCGCGAGAGCUCGGCAGAAAGGCCGGCCCGGCCGAGGUCCUCGGGUAGGUUGCUUGAGGCUCGAGGUAACUUGAGUCCCAGAGAAAUGAUCACCCCCGUGUGAGCGCAAGCUUCACGCGGGACAGAAUCCGGCUUAUAGGGUUUCUCCAACG
RNAcentral lists this RNase P RNA (424 nucleotides) under Nitrospira sp. Its description in RNAcentral is "RNase P RNA component class A". It matches the Rfam family "Bacterial RNase P class A". From Rfam's summary of the family: Ribonuclease P (RNase P) is a ubiquitous endoribonuclease, found in archaea, bacteria and eukarya as well as chloroplasts and mitochondria. Its best characterised activity is the generation of mature 5'-ends of tRNAs by cleaving the 5'-leader elements of precursor-tRNAs. Cellular RNase Ps are ribonucleoproteins. The record is from RNAcentral. Lineage: Bacteria; Pseudomonadati; Nitrospirota; Nitrospiria; Nitrospirales; Nitrospiraceae.